Molecule: ribosomal RNA, 632 nt
Filed under: uncultured fungus
Lineage: Eukaryota; Fungi
Description: eukaryotic LSU rRNA
Rfam family: Eukaryotic large subunit ribosomal RNA
Source: RNAcentral
ACCCGCUGAACUUAAGCAUAUCAAUAAGCGGAGGAAAAGAAACUAACAAGGAUUCCCCUAGUAACGGCGAGUGAAGCGGGAAGAGCUCAAAUUUGAAAUCUGGUGGCCUCAGGUCAUCCGAGUUGUAAUCUAUAGAAGUGUUUUCCGUGCUGGCUCAUGUACAAGUCCCUUGGAACAGGGCGUCAUAGAGGGUGAGAAUCCCGUCCUUGACAUGAACUACCAGUGCUCUGUGAUACAUUUUCAACGAGUCGAGUUGUUUGGGAAUGCAGCUCAAAAUGGGUGGUAAAUUCCAUCUAAAGCUAAAUAUUGGCGAGAGACCGAUAGCGAACAAGUACCGUGAGGGAAAGAUGAAAAGCACUUUGGAAAGAGAGUUAAACAGUAUGUGAAAUUGUUGAAAGGGAAACGAUUGAAGUCAGUCGUGCUCUUUGGAUUCAGCCGGUUCUGCCGGUGUACUUCCUUUGAGUGGGGUCAACAUCAGUUUUGAUCGCUGGAUAAAGGCUGGAGGAACGUAGUACCCUCGGGUAAACUUAUAGCCUCCUGUCACAUACAGUGGUUGGGACUGAGGAACGCAGCACGCCUUUAUGGCCGGGAUUCGUCCACGUACGUGCCUAGGAUGUUGACAUAAUGGCUUU